GUCUAUAGCCAUACCAUCCUGACUGUGCCUAAUCUCAAAAGCUGUGUUCAAUCUCAAAAGGGUAGGGCCCAGUUAAUACUUGAGUGGGAGGCCUCCUAGGAGUACCAGGUACUGUAGGCU
This 120-nucleotide ribosomal RNA is filed under the name Carlito syrichta (Philippine tarsier). Lineage: Eukaryota; Metazoa; Chordata; Mammalia; Primates; Tarsiidae. The record is from RNAcentral.